Non-coding RNA from Camellia sinensis, 732 nucleotides. NCBI's taxonomy places the organism in Eukaryota, Viridiplantae, Streptophyta, Magnoliopsida, Ericales, Theaceae. The record is from RefSeq and is a predicted model, not a curated record.
UGUGUAUAUUUAUAUACAUGGAUGCCUUAGGAGUUGUUGAACUCAUCUAUUUUGAACCAAAAAUAUCUAGAGAAAGGGGGAAGACCCGUGAGAGAGAGAGAGAGAGUUCUUGAGGGAACUCAAAGAGGGAGGAGGGAAGGCUUGGAGAUUGAAGAGCUUUAAGGGGGGAAUUCAAGGAUUUGGGUUAAGGUCAAGAUGAGGACAUCGUUCCACCGCUAUCAGAGACCUACCGCUGUAACCAACUGGAAAGCCAGUCCUAACUAGCGGUGCAACUUGGGCGGGCUCAACCCGAGCAACUCGAGCCCAGCCCGAAAUUUUUUAGGGCUUGGACAAAAUAUUUUCAAAUUCGGUACGGGCUUGGGCAAAAAUUUAGAAGCCCGAAUUAAAUUUGGACGGGCUUGGGCAAAGACGUCGAACAACCUGAGCAACCCGAAGCCCGAAUUAUACAUAUAUAGAUAUAUAAAAAUAUUAAAUAUACAUAUAAAUUAUUAGUCAUUAUAUGAUAUUAAAGUAAUUUAUAUUAUUAAAUCAUAUUGAAUAUAUAUUAUAUAUACAAAUAACAUAAAAUCUUACUUUUUUUUCUUUUUAUUUUCAUUCAUAAUUGUAAGGAUUACUAUUGUGGCACCUCUCUUACAUUAUAUAAAUUAUUUAUUUUGAUGGUAUUAAUGAUUUUCUAUUAAAAAAAUUUAAAAUAAAUUCAAAUUUUAAUAAUUUAAUAAUGUAGCUGCAAAA